UGGCGCUGGAGCCAACCCCGCUGCAGGAGCUCUGAGGCCUCCCAGGUAAUGGCACGGUCUGCGGGAGACCAUUAAGUGGUAUUCUGCGAGAUGAAGAGGGCACUUCCAGGCUUGAGUUACGUUAGAGUAGUUUAAAACCAUGGUGCUCGCCGUGGUAUUCGCCGCCUGCCAUCAGAACUGCUUGAGAAUAAGGCAGCAAAAACAUUUGAGCAACCAGUUGUUGCGAACAAGAAAAACUCUGACCCGAGAGGGGGAUUGGACUAAUUACUGUGUGACCUUAUGGCUCAAGCCAAGACCAAGACUUGCACAGACUGCAGGAUUGUGGGCUGUCAUUAUAUGAAAGAAGACUUGUUCCAGCAAUUGCUUCUCUUUCCAGAGCCUUCUGGCUGCGAAAUGAAAAGCCUGGGGUGAAAAAUACAUUUCUUUCUUGGACUGAUAUGGGGUGGAGGGGGCAUGCAAGAAAGGAUCAUUAUUAUUAUUAUUUUUGCUGCUGUAGAAUUGAUGUGUUGGAGGGAAAAGAAAUAUGAUGAUGUGCUGUCCCUGAGAAUGAUUUUUAAGUCCUAGAUGCCUUUGCGAGAGAGGUGGUACUGAUCUGUUCUGCUGAGAAAACAUCUGAGGAGAUCUGGUUCUACUGAGGAGCCAAAGAGAAAGGCAGGAGGGUUGUAUCUCAUGAUGCUCUACGAACUGAACUACACAGGGAGGAAGGGAUGAGGGGCCAGCCAAGGCUCACCCAAGGAGGACACAGCCAUCGUCCUGACUGGUUGCUGGGAUGUGAGAAUGGUGGUGAGGAAAGCCAGCAUUGCAGCCUUCUGUAGCUCUUGUCCAUCCAGCUGGCUGUGCAGGUAGCACUGGCUAACACCAGAUACCUCAGCAGUCCUCUCCAGAACUGAUACAAUGGUGUGUGCUCAGGCAUCUGGUUGGAGUGAAAUGAACUUCUCUUCAUGAAGAAGUCAGCGGACAGAAGGAGAAAUUGCACAGAACAGGCAGGCACUAAAUCGAGCUCAGCAGCAGAUCUGCUCUGCACACCGCUGCUCACUGCUGCAGCUGCUAUCAGUACGACUGUCACUGCGCUCUUACUACGACAGCCCUUUCAUAUGAUACAUGAGAUGUUCCUGGCCUGGUUUCAAAGGGCAAAGGGGAGAAGGAUAACAGAGCCGACUCCGGCUUUUGAGCAUUUUGUUUACUGGAACAUCCUUUUAACCAUUCAACAGAGUACACUGCUGGGUUAAGGGAAAGUCAUUAAUGUUGCCCUUGGUAAGUGGAUCAAGUAAUAGUGCCAUAUGCUCUGAUGCAGUAAAAUGCAAUCACUGCCUAGAAGCCUUUGCAUUUGGAAAAAAAAAAAAAAAGAGUAAUUUUUGCUUGCUUUGCAUUACUCUGGGGAUAUACACCAUUGCUUCUUCACCAGUAUCACUAAAGUACCAAAGUGUACUGAUUGCACCUGUGCAAAUCAGAGAUCUAGGAGAUACAGGAAACACUUUCCUCCUUAAAUAAGUUUCUCCACUGCCUGAGUUUGUUUUAAAGCAAAUUCUGCUUCUUCUCUUGUUCAUAGAAUCAGAGCUCUGUGCCACCACUCCUUGUUCUGGGGAUUUGCUUAUUAUAACUUCACCUCUGCAGACUCAGAUGUUCUCUGAAGACCACCACGAGGCUGGGUCCCAAUACCCAGCCGCUGAGGCACAGAGCUCACUAGAGGUACUAGAGGUACCAUGCCAGUUCCAUGAAAACAUCAUAAAGACAGAAAAAAAAAUCAGCAAAUGGCAAAUUAGUAGCAUUGGACCUGGUGUGCUCUUUGUGAGAGGCUCAAUUCUGUGUUGGCUCACAUCUUAAUCCACCCCAGCUGACACACACCAAGCAUAAAUCAGCACAGGGUCUGGCCUCUGUACUGUGCAAACAUUAACUAAUUAAUCCUCCUUAUAGCCACUGGAGGCUGCAAAGGAGUUAUUAUUAUACUUCUCUUCAAGAGUGUGCAACUGAAGCAGAGAGGAUAAAUGAUUAAAGAAAACAGAUAUAAUGAUUGUCUGAACUUGGGUGCAGAAGGACUUUUGGACAUUUCUGGAGCACCCUUCACCUGUUUUUUUUUUUAGCAGUCUCGGUUGAGGAAUAAGCAGGAGAAAUUUUGUGAGCUACUUUUAGAAAAGCUCCAGGGCCUUAUCCUCAUCUUUGUUACACUUACAAAUCUGGAGAAAUUCUAUUUGCUCCUUGAGGACACACAAGGGGUUUACAGGAAUGUUGAAAAUAAGAAUCUGGCCCAUCACAUUAACAUAAAAUGUGAGGAAAAAGUACCCAACAACAAGCAAAGGGCAAUACAGACAAUAGGUUUCUUAUGAGCAAAUUGGCUGUUUGUUUGCCUUUUUUUUUCUCCCUACAUUAAUGCUGUCCAGGCCUCCCCUGUGUAUUCUCAAGGAAAUGACUUUGUUAUAUCAGUGAAGUAUAUUGAAAAUGAAAUCAGUGGUAGCACCAAAUGUGCCCAGACAUGACAAGACUUUUAAAUAACAACAGAAGAAUUCUAUCUCCUUUCCUGUUUGUUCCAUGUUAACUUAUGGAGAUUGGUGCUGACUUUCUGGAAUGGCUGCAGCAAGCUGUAAAUGAUGUAUGAAAAUGAAAUGAAAAAUCUCUGCCCAGGCCACUGUGCACAGCAAUCGCUGCUGAGCCAAAUUAAUAGCUGUUUGCUCCUGUACACUCUGACAUGAGAUGGAGACAGCGAAGCCAGCAGCACAGAAAUUGGCACAACCACCCACAAAUAUCCUGGCCAGGAUAUCUGUUGAUUCUUCCUUCACCCAGUCCUGUUGUCAGCGGUGGAGUCCUUUAGAGAUAUAGAAGGGAAGAGAUCUAGAUGUUUGCAGCCCUUCCUGGAAAAGCUCAGGGAUUCACACACAGAAGGUAACAAGUUAGGUGGUGAUGACACCUUCACCUUCUUGGGACCUCCUUUUUCCUGCCUCCAUUUCCUGACUUUGUUUAUUGUCUUCAUCCCCAUUUUUAUCCAACUGUAUCUCUGUUGCAACAUCAACACCCCUGGGCAUUGGGGCUGUGCAGGUGAAAGAGGCUUGCAUCAAAUGGGCGUAAUUAAGCGAGCACAUGUGUGUGGGUACAAUUAACACCUGGUGAUUAUGUCAGUAACAUGGUGGGCAUGGUGACAAAGGGCAUUUCUGUUGACCCAGUUACUGAAAGGCUCUCUGGUAGUCACGCUGCAGUGCAAAACUGCAAACAGUGAUUAUUAAUACCAUUAAAAAUUCAUGCAAGCUCAGGUUCUGCAAAUGCUCUGCCAUGUGAACAGUCUCUGCGGAGAUAAAGAGGGCAUGACAGCAAGUGUAGAAAGCUGAUGUCCGGGCUAAUGAUGUGCUGGCUACAAGUUGCCCCUCAGAGCUUUGGGCUCGACGUACCCCUGUGCCCUCAGCUGCUGGGCCCACCAGGUGUUUCUGCAAGCAGCCCCCACCUGGCAUCCUCCCUUGGACAUUCACCAUGUAGCUCUCUGCUCCCCCCCUUGCUCCUUUUUGCAUGGGUAACUUCUGCAAGCGCGAAGUAAAAACAAGAGAAAUUAAAAAAUAAUAUGAAUUAAGCAAAAUGCCCUUUGUGUGAUACUCCUUUGCAGCCUAGAAGCAAAGGGAGAUGGGAUUUAAUUUAGGCCAGUCCUCUGCUGCAUUUCAGAUAAAGGAUUUUUAAUCUAGUCGUAGGUUGAUAAAAAUACCCCUCUCUGAUCCUGCAGGCAACUUUUUCUGCCAAUUUUCUUUCCAGAGAGGAAGAGAGGGGAAAAAAUAAUUGAAAGAACACUGCCGCAUAGAAAAUGACACUGACGAAGUAAUGCAUUUUGGAACUGCGUGCUCUGCCAGCUCCGUGUUUACUAUUUUUUCCUCCUUUUACUUCAGAAAUUUCAAGCUAUCGGUAAUCAUCAGCAUGAUUAGGUGGUGUGGGUUUUUUUUUUCCCUUUUUUUUUUUUUUUUUCCACUGAGCUUUAGUUCAGGUACCAGUCUUUUAAAUACAAAAUGAUUUCUCCAUUCUGGAGUGUUAUUUCAACUUUCACAGUACAGCUUGUUCUGUUCCACCCCAAGCAGAAAAUUUUCAGGGUUAAUUUAUUCAUCUAAUUGCUGGAUGCACAUGUGGUAUUGCAGUCCACAGUGAUUUUAUGGACUUAAGGCUAUGGUAAUGACUUAAUAAACAUGCAUGUGUACAUGAUUUGAAGGGAAUA
This is a long non-coding RNA of Anser brachyrhynchus (Pink-footed goose), 4180 nucleotides long. The record is from Ensembl. Lineage: Eukaryota; Metazoa; Chordata; Aves; Anseriformes; Anatidae.